Hordeum vulgare subsp. vulgare (domesticated barley) is the source of this 124-nucleotide non-coding RNA. The record is from Rfam. NCBI's taxonomy places the organism in Eukaryota, Viridiplantae, Streptophyta, Magnoliopsida, Poales, Poaceae.
UAAAUACUCCCUCGUCCGAAAAUAGUUAUCACAGGAAUGGAUGCAUUUAAAUAUAUUUUAGUUCUAGAUACAUCUAUUUUUAUAAAUUCGCGCGACAAGUAUUUUUGAAUGGAGGGAGUAUAAU